GUGUUACAUGAAAGGAAAGUUAGCACUCCCCUUGAAAAGGUGCAAGAGGUUCUUUGGCCUAACAACAUGCAUAUGGUUAAGGCAUUACCACCUAAUUCGUGGCAGGUAAUCAUCAUGUUUA
Molecule: small nuclear RNA, 121 nt
Organism: Pteronotus mesoamericanus
Lineage: Eukaryota; Metazoa; Chordata; Mammalia; Chiroptera; Mormoopidae
Source: RefSeq, a predicted model, not a curated record